Molecule: ribosomal RNA, 250 nt
Filed under: uncultured bacterium
Lineage: Bacteria
Description: partial 16S ribosomal RNA
Rfam family: Bacterial small subunit ribosomal RNA
Source: RNAcentral
UACGUAGGUGGCGAGCGUUAUCCGGAUUUACUGGGUGUAAAGGGCGUGUAGGCGGUUUCUCAAGUCGGAUGUGAAAUUCCCAGGCUUAACCUGGGCGCUGCAACCGAAACUGAGAAACUUGAGUACUGGAGAGGAUAGUGGAAUUCCUAGUGUAGCGGUAAAAUGCGUAGAUAUUAGGAGGAACACCGGUGGCGAAGGCGACUAUCUGGACAGUAACUGACGCUGAGGCGCGAAAGCGUGGGGAGCAAAC